This 379-nucleotide ribosomal RNA is filed under the name Geobacillus sp. RNAcentral's name for it is "bacterial SSU rRNA". It matches the Rfam family "Bacterial small subunit ribosomal RNA", at positions 1105 to 1482 of the family's 1533-position model. Lineage: Bacteria; Bacillati; Bacillota; Bacilli; Caryophanales; Anoxybacillaceae. The record is from RNAcentral.
UCGCCUCUAGUUGCCAGCACGAAGGUGGGCACUCUAGAGGGACUGCCGGCGACAAGUCGGAGGAAGGUGGGGAUGACGUCAAAUCAUCAUGCCCCUUAUGACCUGGGCUACACACGUGCUACAAUGGGCGGUACAAAGGGCUGCGAACCCGCGAGGGGGAGCGAAUCCCAAAAAGCCGCUCUCAGUUCGGAUUGCAGGCUGCAACUCGCCUGCAUGAAGCCGGAAUCGCUAGUAAUCGCGGAUCAGCAUGCCGCGGUGAAUACGUUCCCGGGCCUUGUACACACCGCCCGUCACACCACGAGAGCUUGCAACACCCGAAGUCGGUGACGGUAACCCUUACGGGAGCCAGCCGCCGAAGGUGGGGCAAGUGAUUGGGGUG